GGAGGAGUCGCCUAGUUGGUCUAUGGCGCGGUCCUGGAAAGACCGUUGGGCGGUAACGUCCUCGCGAGUUCGAAUCUCGCCUCCUCCG
RNAcentral lists this transfer RNA (88 nucleotides) under Candidatus Gottesmanbacteria bacterium. Its description in RNAcentral is "tRNA-Ser". It matches the Rfam family "tRNA". Rfam says of the family: Transfer RNA (tRNA) molecules are approximately 80 nucleotides in length. Their secondary structure includes four short double-helical elements and three loops (D, anti-codon, and T loops). The record is from RNAcentral. Lineage: Bacteria; Candidatus Gottesmaniibacteriota.